Molecule: ribosomal RNA, 478 nt
Filed under: uncultured bacterium
Lineage: Bacteria
Description: bacterial SSU rRNA
Rfam family: Bacterial small subunit ribosomal RNA
Source: RNAcentral
AUUGAACGCUGGCGGCAGGCCUAACACAUGCAAGUCGAGCGGUAACAGAGAGUAGCUUGCUACUUUGCUGACGAGCGGCGGACGGGUGAGUAAUGCUUGGGAACAUGCCUUGAGGUGGGGGACAACAGUUGGAAACGACUGCUAAUACCGCAUAAUGUCUACGGACCAAAGGGGGCUUCGGCUCUCGCCUUUAGAUUGGCCCAAGUGGGAUUAGCUAGUUGGUGAGGUAAUGGCUCACCAAGGCGACGAUCCCUAGCUGGUUUGAGAGGAUGAUCAGCCACACUGGGACUGAGACACGGCCCAGACUCCUACGGGAGGCAGCAGUGGGGAAUAUUGCACAAUGGGCGCAAGCCUGAUGCAGCCAUGCCGCGUGUGUGAAGAAGGCCUUCGGGUUGUAAAGCACUUUCAGUCAGGAGGAAAGGUUAGUAGUUAAUACCUGCUAGCUGUGACGUUACUGACAGAAGAAGCACCGGCUAAC